Molecule: long non-coding RNA, 4920 nt
Organism: Oryctolagus cuniculus (rabbit)
Lineage: Eukaryota; Metazoa; Chordata; Mammalia; Lagomorpha; Leporidae
Source: RefSeq, a predicted model, not a curated record
CAAGAAAGCUGCGCUUACCUAUCAUCUUAUAUUCGAAAUUAAGGUUCACAACCAAGAGAAAGCGGUCAGAAAAGCUUCGAUUCAGUGGAAGUGCGUUUGUCCCUCACCGAGGAUUCACAGUUGGACUGUUUUCCUAGAGUGAAGAGGACUGCCUCAAAAAUGUGAAGUCCAUCAUUGAGAUGAACUACAAAGGAGUGUGAAUGAUAAGGCUGAGAUGUUUCCUACAGUUUCUACCAAAGAACCUGGUAUCAGCUGGUUAGGGGUGGGAGGAGCCGGCAGAGGCGGCCAUCAGUAUCCCCCGUUUCUCGUGCAUUUCCAACGCAGACGUCUCUGAGCCUGCUCUACCUUCUGGACCUGAGUCACCUCUGCUGUAAACCGCUGCCGGACGCUGAAGAGCCUGACCCAGGUUUCUGACGCUCAAUCUUCACUGUAACUUGAGGUGUGUUCCAGUCACACCUGGCGGCGUCUUCUGCCUCUUGCCUGACAAAUCAGCACCUCUUCUGAAAUCUCAGGAAAACCAGCAGCGCCUACUGUGGAGUACCGACUCCCUGCCGCUUCUUUAAACGAUGGACCCCACUGGAACAGCCACUCUGCACCGCGCAGAGAGGGCGCAGGUCCGGGAGACGUCACACCCUCCCCCACCCCCGUUUUCUGUCCAGCCUGGCCCUGGAAGCUGCGUGACACCGCAUGUGCUGGGCGGGUCUGGCAAGGAAGCCUCUGUGUCUGACUUACCUCCUCACAUAGGGAGAGGGAGACUCAGAAAGCCAAACUACAGGGGCAGCGCACUCGGCCACAGUCGUCCUAAACAAGACACUUGACCGGCUUUGUGCCUUCUUGCUCAGGCAAUGUCGGCAAAAGCCGAGUUAUUUCUCGUAACGCAGCCUUGACUAGGGUUCAACUCGUGCUGCGGCCACUGUUUUACACGGGAGGCCUCUUCCACCGAGCCUGCCCCCCUCUCCCUCACUCAUGCACUUGUAUGUCUACCGUACACGACUGCUCUCCUGUUGUGCAAGACGGCAGUGUUAGUAAUUGGGGUUAGUUCUUAUUUAAUUUCAUUUCAUUCAAAAUGGAGGUGGAACUUACUGGCAUACCUAGGCUGCAGCCCCAUGCAAGCAAGCAAAAAGCAAAAUACCGAGAAUGGAAGAGGAAGAGGAACUGGCUAGCAGGCAGCUGCACUCACCCUUCUGCACAGCCUAUGGUCCACCAGGGGGCUUUAGACAGCAAAACAACACCAGAGAGCUAUUAGCAGAGGGCCACGGCAGGAUCGACAAACAGCUGCUUUUCAACCAAAGGGAAUACAAAAUGGCUUCUUUUUCGGGGAGAAAGAAAAGGCGAGUGAUAGUGGGGUAUGUGGAACGAGCAGGUGGAAAAUUCACCAACUGACUUUUAAGUCUUACAGCAGGGCCGGGGUCUCCACUUCUCACUGAUUCCUGAAGCCCCUGUCUACCUGCCCUUCUGAGAGGGGCCACACGAGGUUUUCUUUAAUAUGGACUUCUCUGCUUCUAAGGGACAACAGACAUUGACAGUUUCCCUUAGAACAGUAUCAGGCGGCCCAGGAUGACACCAGGGUGACGUAAGCCCCCAGGGAAAUCCAAGUCUGAUGGCAGCACACGCACAGCUUUUCAGCAUCUUCUCACAUUCCUCGGUGGAACACGAAGGAGUGAGUGGGAGAUGAACACCAGUCCUGCAGGCCACACACAGCGGUCACGGGAAACCCUGGGCUGUUUCCUAACAUCUAACGUCUGGUCAACACGAGGUCAAGGGCCAGCAACGAUCUUUACUUGUUUCCAAAUAAUGAACGGGGAUUCAGGGCCCAGCAUCUCGUGUUCUCCUCACACCGAGCCUUCUUGGCGGCCUUCCUCAGUGGUGAAAGCCGAAGGAAGCUACAAGUCUUCCGUGAAGUCUCUCCCAGCUGCUGGAGCCCACAGAGAGCAAGCAGGGGACCUUUGUAGGGGCCUUCGGGGAGUUUAUGUCCUGUUGAAGCAUUCCACUCUCUCAACCCACCCAGUGUACAAACAGGGCGUGGCUUUGGAAAAAAAAAAAAAAAAAGAGGAAGAGAAAAAAAAGUGUAGAACGUUAUGUGCUUUGCUCAAAAUCCAGAGGACUGCAUUACCUCCACCUAUAUUCAAUGUCUGAAGAUAAGACUCGAAGAAAUGAGGGUGAUCGCGGAGUCCAAGUUCACUUGUGAACAUUCUGGAAAGCGGGGGACUGUGCCACAGCAAUGCUCUUGAAAACGCAACCCGUCUGCAGAGCGUCCACGAGACUCUGCUCCCGGUGGUCAGUCUCCUGGCUUCGGUGCUGCAGGAGCCAGAGGGAUGGGGAAGGAGGCAGAGUGCACAAGGGAGACGUCGGGCUGAGGGCAGGCCAGGUCCGCGGGGCUCGCCAGACGGGAGACCCCAGCUGCUGGUGUUGGUCCCCAGCGCUCAGAUGCCAGGUGAGUGUCUGACAAAGCGGCAAGGCAGGAGACUGGCGAGUUUGGAGAUCAAGAUCAUUAUGUGACAGCCGAGUCCCACGCUUCAUAUGUGUUUCUGAACAGGACUUCCUACUUCUGAGUCUUGGUAGCAGUCUGCUGUCUCGUUUGGUAGUUGCCGUGUGCAAUGAGGAGCCCCCAGUCCUGCACCUCGGACACAGGAGGAGCCGCGGAGGCCCAGGGAAGGUGCACGUGCUCCCGUCAUAGCCUCCACACUGGACAACACCCAUCGGGCCUGGAAACCCUCUUCCUGUUUUCCCUGUUGCUAACAUAGGGGCAGCGCGUGUUUCCCUCCACAGCCAUCUAAGUGAAUUGUUUUGUUGAUUUAGAGAAAGGUACAAGGGACCAGUUAAACCCUAUGAAGUCUCAAAGGUCAAACGUUUCAAAGUUAGCAAUCCGAUGGUUUUAGGAGUUAGAAAAAUACAAAUGGCAGUGACACAAGACCUCUGAGGAUCAAAUUCCAGCAGGUGUUAAGACACAGAGGCACAGGGAACACACAGCCAAACCACUGGGGAGGCCCCCUGCGCACGGGAGACGUGGCCACUGUGACGGAGGUUGGGCUGGACUGAAACUUAGAGGAAGCAAAAUGAUGUUCUCCAGCCCCCGGGUGUGAGUGAAGACCCCAACUUCAGCAAGAAAGCGCCCGUGCGAGGGGAGGGACCUGUGGGGAGGGGCCGCGGAGCCCACCUCCCACUAAGUGCAAGGCCCCCAGGAUGUCAGCGACCUCUGACCCUGCACAGCUUUGCUGGGCCAUUUCCUGUCAGCCACCCCACAUCCAGCAGAGGGCGCCACCUGCUUAGUGGAAAUUCUGCAUCACAGAACCUGGGUGGCCUUGACAGUUCGCCUUCCUUUGCUGGGGCACAGAACACUCCGCGUGCUUUCGGUUUGGACAGACACUGGCACAGGAAGGGAUUACAAGAACACUGCAACGCGGCCUGCAAGUCACGGGGUAAGGGGCACUUGGAGCUGAGCAGCACGCGGCACGUCGUCCUCACAUCCGAGGCCUGAGCCCCCUGGCCCGACAGGCACCGCGGGGUCUGGGCCAGUUCCCAGAGCGCCGCCAGCGGCGACUUCCUGGCUGCUUCAGGGGCUCCACUGCCCCGCCGUAGUCCGGGGUGCGCCCCUGCCUGCCUGCCUGCCUGCCAGGGAUUAGCUUUCCACGGGAGCCGGUGGGCGGUGAAGGCGGGCAGGGCCGCCGCCUCGCUCUCGGCGACGGACACGCACAGACCGAGAUUCACCUACCUGUGGCGACAACGGCGUAGAAACCUCAUUAUUUUUCGAGCAGCUUGGUCCUGCUUUUUGGUUAGCAAACUGCUCCUGAAAAAGUCAGAAAGCUGUUGUCACAGGAGGGCGCUGGGAAGCCUGACGUGCGAAAGCCGGAGGCCGACUCCUGGUAACCAAUGACUUACUUCCAUGGUUCACGGGGCAAACCCGACAACACGGGCACCUGCGGCUGUCAGGGCACUGAGUCUGCGCGUCACUGGACGAGGACGGGGGGCUGGGCACUUCCCCUCACUUUCAGGGAGGCCAUAUAAAGACUGAAAGUAAGUCCUCUCUCAAAGCCCCGUCACAGCUCCUUACAAACUCACUCUGUCGAAAAAGACAUCCGGCACCACACGGGCGUUCCUAGUGUAGAGGCUGACUCGCCUGAGUCUGAUACUCUCUUUGGGCUGUUAUUUUCUCCAUUUUUAAAAUUGUUAAAGAAUAUUUAAUUUAUUUGAGAAAGAGAGAGAGAAAAUCUUCUCCACUCUGCCCCCUCCCCCAUCCACUGGCUCACUGCCCAAAUGCCAACAGCAGCCAGGACUGAGCCAGGCCAAAGCUGGGAGGUGAGAACUCCAUCCGGGUCUCCCCCGUGGGUGGUGGAGACCCAAGUACUUGAGCCGUCGCCUCCCGCCUCCCAGGGUGAGCGCGCUGAGCAAGAAGCCGCGAUGGACGGCGGAGGCAGGACCUGAACCCCGGCUCUCAGGCUCUCGGAUGUGGGCCGCGCUGCAUCAAACGCUCACCCCUAAAAUCUUUCUACGUCAGCGUUCCCUCACUCUGCUGCAAGCUUUUAUGACCCUCUCUAACCCUAGCUACUCUUGCAAGGUUUUCCAUGUAGCAGCAACUCUGCAUCUUAGACAACUGCCACUUAGACUUCUUAAACAGAGUAAGACCUUUCUGAGUGGAGAUUCUGGCCCUCCCCCAUUUCGAGGUAAGUUGAAAUUAGGUGGUGACAUCAAGAUACCUGGCGCUAAGCACACAGAGACCGGCAGCGCAGGAGUUACCCAUGGGACGUGACGGAGCUGCAGUGCACGGAGAAGACAGAGGCUGCCAGUGCCCCGCACAGGCCCCGCACAGGCCGUCUCCUGCCCCGGGACCCACCUGAGCUUCUGCUGGACGAUCACGGCCGUCCGGCGGGCCUGCCGUCUCUUGCCGCACUUGCGGUAGCUCCGGUAGUACUUCUGGAUGAG